CCUUCUGCGCGUGCUCUGUCCUCUGCGCGCGCAGGCGCGCAUUAAAUGCGUUGCAGUCGACCGUUGCGUGCGAAGUAGUCGUUGCUCCGCUGGCACACCGGACAGUCCGGUGUGUCACCGGACACUGAUCGGUGCCUCACCGGACAGUCCGGUGAAUUAUAGCGGAGCGGCCUCCCAUUUUCCCGAAGGUGAGGAGUUCAGCGUCGAGUUCCCUGGUGCACCGGACACUGUUCGGUGGCACACCGGACAGUCUGGUGCGCCAGACCAGGGUGCCUUUGGGAUGUCUUUAGCUGUCUUUAUUUGAAUCCAUCUUUGGUCUUUUUAUUGGCUUGUUGUGAACCUUUGGCACCUGUAAAACUUAUAGACUAGAGCAAACUAGUUAGUCCAAUUAUUUGUGUUGGGCAAUUCAACCAUCAAAAUCAAUUUAGGAAAAGGUGUAAGCCUAUUUCCCUUUCAAAGUCAAUGUUAUAAGCAGGGAAAUUGUCCUACAGAAUUUCCUUAAUGAUUUCACCUAUAUGAGCUGAUUGUGGGGUCGCACUCCGGGAGAGAAUGGGGUUUCCUCUCUAGUGAUCUCAUGAAUAGAUAUUAAAGGGCAUGACCGUAACGCCCUGCCCCAUAAGAGAAGCAGAUAAUCUGCCUAGUACUAUGUGCCUUUUGUGCGAAGACUCUCACACUAGGGUUUGUGGAUCAAGGCGUAGUCCUCCGCUUAUUCGUGCAGGGUUGGAGUACACUGGGAUAGGCUUUGGUUCAAACCUAACAAGUACCUCUGCCGAAAGUAGUAUAUAAACAGUACGGGAGCUCAAUGACAUUGAUCAAAAAAUAAGAGUGAAAAUGGUGGGGAUUGCUGUUAAUUGGGGUUUUCCCUUUAUUAAAAAAAGAGAGGAGAAAGGGGGUUAGCCGGGCUGGGCCGCUAGAAGGCCUUACAGCCGAGCAACCCAGCUGAUGACUUAACCCUAGAUGCAAGAGCCGUAUCCCGAGAGGCAAGAAAAAGGAGCAGAGAGCUGGGCGGCGGAGGCGACUGAACGACAUCUCCGUUUUCAGUGGCUUGCUCGGCUGUAGCUUUAGCCCUCUCCUUGCGCGACUACCUCCUGCUUGGCUCCUUAUAAUGGGAGUUCGAUCUCCUGGCUUGGGAUUGAAAGCUGUAGCUGGUGCUGCGCACGUGCAGCAACGGUUCCUUGUGCUUUUUUUCUGUGCUCGGACGCCUGUGUGGUGCUGUUCUCUGAUCUUUGUCCACUGUGGCCUGGUGCUUGGACUCCCUGCUGCGCGGUGUUCCUCUUCUCGGGCUGGUGCCGUGGACGUCUCCUUCGGCUCCGGCAGCGGCUCUAGUAUUUUCGUCAACCUCCUGCCGUGCAGGCCCGGACUUGGGCGGCAGAAUUAGUUUUCUAGGACAGAACAUUGUGUUCACUGAGCUGGUCUUCCCACGUAGACAAUCUACGUGCUGUGAGUUACCCGUUGCAUCCCUAUAUUUAUUGUUUAAUUUUGUGCAAUCUGCUAGUAUUAAAAUACUUGGAGUGUGAUUGCACUAUUGUGGGUGGAUUUGUUUGCUCAAUGAUAAUAGUGGUGUAGUGAGACAACGUGACAGUCUGGGUUUUAGUGUGUUGUUAUUUUCAGCAUUGAUAUUAUUUAUGCCUAAUUAUAUCUCUAUUUGUUGAGGUUGUUUACCUGUGUUAAAUUCUGCUAUAUUAUUUAAUUCACAGUUUCUUACUAUUAGUAUUUAUACUUUAUUAUUAGGCUUAUUACAUCUGAUCUAAAACCCUGAUUUGGUGAGAUAGGACUGUCACGUUAGUCAAGGAUCUCUGAUCACCAUUUAGCGUUGGAGGGAUGUUUAUUACAGUAACCCGCUAUUUUGAGAGCAAUAUAAAAAGAUAAACAAUAAUGUUUAUGUGAUUAAUCUGCCUUCUUCAUCUACAAGCCAUGUUUAAUUCUCAAAUGGACUUGAAUAGCUAUGUUUCAUGUAUUCAUGUACCAGAAUUGCUACUGUUUAUUGUUGUUAUAAUUACAUAUGGCAUCUAUCUGAGUUAUAUGUCUGUUUUAUUCAGAAUUAUAAUAUCUAAUAUAUUUAAGUAUAAUGGAAGCAUGUCACUUAUUUCUCUAAUAUUACAACAGUCCUUACGUAGGGAGGACUGAAGUCUCCGGUGAAGAGUUGCAAAGGAAGCAACUCAGGUUGGAUGGCUAUCCCAUCUCUUGAAUAUUGCCCCUGUUUGUUUCGGCUUUUUGGAGCUUCUGACCACCAAAAGCUGUUGCGGACUGCCAAACACUCAACUUUUCAGUCAGCUUCUAUAAAAUUCGUUUGGGUAAAAACCAUUCAAAAUCAACAUAAACACAUAAUCGGUUGAGUCGUUGCAAUAGUAGGAAUCCGCCACUUUCUACAUCCUGAGUCCUAUGGACACAUUUAUCUUCUUCUGCACGUAAUCUUAAUGAUACUUAAAUUCUCUACACAACCAGAUUCUCCUCACAGCCAGAUUCUCAGAAAAACUGGUCAGAAAAAAACUGAACCAAACAUGCCCAUUAUCUCCGCAUUCAGCACUCUUUUUAUGUAGCGGGGUCCACGCAAAGAAGCUGCAUUUUGGUUCAGCUAUUGCUUUCUAUAUUGGGCAGAUCUUGAUUUUGUUAAAGUUGUUUGCAAACAUAAUUUUGUUUGCGCUACUUGUUGUAUACUGCCAUUUUCCCUCCAUUUCCAAGAGAUUGUAUCCACAUAAUUAUUUUGCACAUGUUUGUUGUUUAUGGCUUGCUAGAGAGAGACAAAGUCAGUAAAAUUUCUAUUUCUAUUUGGGAAACCUUCUUUAGUCAUACUGUUUGUUUGACAUUUUACGGACUAAAAGUAACUAAAAUUAAGCACCACUAGAUUAUUCACUGAUCAUAGUUCUAUUGUAUAUUUGUUUGAUGACAUAAUUAAAAUAUUUGCAAUGUCUUUAUAGUUUUGGUCAGAUUUGAGAUGCUUCUGACUCUCCAAUAAUAAUUGGACCGAGUUAUUAUACUUGGUAAAAGGAAGGAGUACAACGAUUGGCUGUAAACCUUUUCCCCACAGCUAGCACUCAACCCACACUCCAUCCCACUGAUGAAUCCUGCCCACCUUGCUGCAGCAAGAGAGAGAUGCCAGUAUGCCACGAGCCUGUGGCUGGCAAAACAGGAGCCAGCAGAGGGUGUAAAAACGACACAUCAAAAGCAGUCUGGUUCUGCUUGUCUUUCGCCGGCUGCACCUUCAAGAGUGGCUUGCCAUCAGUGCAACUUGCCACCCGGCUCAGGAGGUUUCUGUGUUGGGUAUCCUUCGUCAUCGUGCACCACCAGUCCACCACACGUCCACACCAGGUACAAGAAGGAGUAUCCCGGCGAGGUCACCGGCAUCGUCGUCUUCUCGCUCGUGACUCAUCGCCUCCAUCGCCGGCUGCACCUUUGGUUACGACAUCGGCCUCACCUGUGACUAUCUGUGAGUGACCAACACCUCAUAGAGUCAGGCCAUGAUACCUUCUCCAGCUAGCGGGGGCUUGAUCUGACCCUAAGCUAACCGACGUUGUAUGUUACUGUCGCCGCCGACGCCUUGGUGGUGACCGUGGUCGUGAAUCCGGGUUGAAGUCGUCGGAGCCAUUUCUGGUCAAGUUCUUCCCAUGUAAGCGUGAAAACGGCCGGUAACGGUCGGAAAAAACCUCUCACCAUUUUCACCCGCAUAAAUUUUUGUUCGGUCGGAAUCGGUAAACGGGAAAGUCAGAAACGGAUAACGGCCGGUAAAUUCUGGUAUAUCGAAAACGGUUAAAUACGAGCAAAAUAGCUCGAAAUUGAUCGGGAAACGGUAACUGUAAUCGGAAAAGCUCACAAUAAACAAAUCCUAAUCACACAGAUGUUCAUUCACAUCCACAUACAAGUCUCAUUCACAAAAGUACACAAAACACAAUCUUGUCCACAUAUAAUUGGUCAUACACUCAUACAUGUCCACUCUUAAAUUUUAACACACAACACAUAAGUCUUAAAACACGAUUGUUCAUUAACAUUCACAUACAAGUCUCAACCACACAAAUAUACAAUACAUAGUCAUGACCACACAUAAAUGAUCAUACAUGUUCACUAAAGUUUUAUCCACAUAGUAUGUAAGUCUUAAACACACGAUACAUAAACUAGAAAUCAUGUGGCAUGUCGUCUGGAUCACUUGAUAUAUCUUCUAUGACAUCUAAAACCCUAAUCUCUAAACCCUAACGGGUAUAGUUCUUGCCUCUUUUGUUUUUUUGUUGACCGGGGAAAUACGGUUAAAAUACGGGAAAAUACCGGAUUUUCCCGAAAAUUCCGAAAACGGACGGUAAAUAUGUCUCACCGUUUACCGUACCAUUUUCGUAAUAACACAUCCCGUUUCCGUCCCGUUUUCCGUAUAUCCCGAAAAAUCUGAAAACGGUCGGAAAAAUCUAGUAAACGGUACCGGAAAUUUACCGAAUUUUACCGACCAUUUACAUCCUUACCUCCAUGGCAGUAAUGACGAGACGAGGCAGAGGAUAGCACUAGAGAUGAGCCGAUCAUCGAAGUGUACAAUCUAGGGUCUAGCGUGGAUGCACUAGAUGUAAUAGUUAGUGUUGGUUAGUUAGUUAAAAAUUUGCCAGUGGAAUUAGCUAGCUAGGCUAGCUAACUAUUAACUAAUUUGCCAAAAAAAACUAAAAGCUAAAUUAUUAGCUAACUAACUAUUAGCUUUGAUUAGCUUUGAUGUAUUCAAACAGGGUCUUAGCAGCCUACUAUAAAGAUGAGUAAGCUGCUGAAGAUAGUCUUAGAGCAUGUUUGGCAACAAUGUUGCUCAAAACCAUAGUUUUAUAAUACUAUACUUUACAAUUGUCAUAACAAUACCAUAAUUUUGGUAGCUCUAAAAAUACCAUGGUUUUGAGAAAUAUUGUUUGGAUACAACAUUGUAAAUCAUGGUAUUAGACAACAAUUAGCCAUGCCAUUAAAAUUUCAGGUGUACGUGGAGUUUCCAAUACUCCAAAAAUAUAAUGGUAUCUAGAAUCCCAUGGUUUCGAAAACAUAGUUUUCAUGGUCGCAACGAAACACCUUAUGACAUAAGGUACUAUGGUAGUAUUGAAAACCAUGGUAUUGCCUAGAAACAAAAAAAAGACUUCACUUGCAAACAACCCCUUAAAUCGAUGGAUACAAAGACCCCCGGCUAGAUAUUUACGAUCCCUCCUCCUCUGUCACUCAUUCUCUGAAUAGAUAUUUGAUGUCCUCUGCUUACUUUCCCCCCUUUGUCCCCUUCUCUAAAUAUUUGAAAACCUAUUGCACACUUUAGCUUUUUUUAUAUAUGUUUCUUAGAUAACUAGGAAAAUGUAAAGAAACUGUCAAUAAGUAUCUGUCAAUAUAUAUUUACUUCUUAAAUAUUUCUAAAAUCUCUGAGUCACUAUCCAUGUGAUUGGAUGCCUGGACGUGCGUAACUAAGCUCGCAUGAGCCUGUUUCGCUGGAUACGGCCAAUUUUUAUGUAUCUGUGGAUACAUGCAAAUAAGUCUAGAUUGUAUCGGUGCAUACGCGUCAGUAUGACUAGAUGCAGCGAACUAAACACAGGUUGAGCCAUGAAAAAGAGCCUAAGCACAAGUAUCCAUAAGCUCGGCCGCGAAACCAAGGACUCGAUCAGCAAUUGGAUCGGAGGAGAGCCUGUAGCCAGAAAGACGCUAUGAUUUUUUUUUUUUACACUCGUGUACAACUUGACCCGUCCUCUUACAACCGACCUCGUGGCUAAUGUGUAACCACCGUCCACUCUGAUCAUCGUAAAAUACGCAAGAUAGUAAGAUACAAUAACAGAUCCAACAUACACGACAUAGGUUAUUAUCUCAGAAAGAGAGAGAUUGAACUUGUAUAAAAACUUUCCUGUGCUUUUAUCUUUAGUUUUCGAUCUUGUGAUCUAGUUAACAUCGACUCAUCGAAUAACCUUCGACAGAAAGGGGAGGGAGAUUAGACGUGUUGGAUGAUGGCUUAAUUACAUACAGGUCACAACUCACAGCCGACGCGACGACGACGAUGAGGAGGAGCAAAACAGCAGAGUGGUGGGGGAGAGAAGAGAAGGAAGAAGGCAGCAGCUUACUACUAGCACGUACAAUACAAUACAAUACACAGUGCAUAGUACAGGCACAGCAGCAGUACUAGUCUAGCAGUGGUACAUGUACAAGUACAAACAACCCGUGCGGGCAGCGGGCGGAGAAGGAAGCGAGGACGCCGCGCGCGGGCCACGAGGCAGAGGCAGAGGCAGAGGCAGGUGCAGCAGCGCUUCACUUCACCUCACUUGGGUCCCCAGAGCAGCAGGUGCAUGACCUUGGCCGUCUUGGCGUGGCCGUGGCGGUGGUCCUCCCGCUCCCGCCCGCGCCACCCCGCCGUCUCCCUCCCGGCCCGGGCCGCCGCGUCGCGCGCCAGCGCGCGCAGGGCGGCCAGCUCUGGCCACCUGCUGCUGGUGCUCUCCUCGCGCCCGUCGCUCAUGUCGGCUGCUGCUAGCUGCGCCGUAGUAGGUUAGGUAGCUAGGCCGUAGCUGUAGCACUAGCACACUGGUUCUCUUCUUGCUCUGUGGCCGAACCGCACGUAUGCCGUUGUCAGCUGGAAACCUCGCCGGCCGCUUAUAUAAGCGCGGGCGCGGGCAGUCUACUAGCGUGACGCACUGACCGACGGCAGGCAGGCAGCACAGGUGGAGUGGGGUGGGGCGCGCGAGUAGUAAUUGAAGAUAAGAAUCGACGACGAUAAAUAUCGCGUGGUGGCGUCAUUCGGUUUCGACGAGAGGCCGUGCGUGGAAAUGGAUCGAGUGGCCGGGAACAUCUGGCUGACGUGCCGCCCGCCGGCCGGCCGUCUGCUGGUCGCCGUCGGGAUCAGACAGACGAGCCAUCGGGCCGCGGCCCACCGGGCGUUGGUCGGGCGGUCGCUGAGCAUCCAGGUGGGGGAGUGCAGGCCGAGGGUGUGGGGGCUGUGCUUCG
This 6918-nucleotide long non-coding RNA is filed under the name Zea mays. RNAcentral describes it as "long non-coding RNA (ZMAY_LNC003117)". Lineage: Eukaryota; Viridiplantae; Streptophyta; Magnoliopsida; Poales; Poaceae. The record is from RNAcentral.